GGAAGGCCCUUUUCAGGGCCACCC
This 24-nucleotide unclassified non-coding RNA is filed under the name Mus musculus (house mouse). RNAcentral's name for it is "5'-R(*GP*GP*AP*AP*GP*GP*CP*CP*CP*UP*UP*UP*UP*CP*AP*GP*GP*GP*CP*CP*AP*CP*CP*C)-3' from Mus musculus (PDB 1KKS, chain A)". Lineage: Eukaryota; Metazoa; Chordata; Mammalia; Rodentia; Muridae. The record is from RNAcentral.